Molecule: long non-coding RNA, 2014 nt
Filed under: Homo sapiens (human)
Lineage: Eukaryota; Metazoa; Chordata; Mammalia; Primates; Hominidae
Description: PREDICTED lncRNA (TCONS_00067686)
Source: RNAcentral
ACUGUGAAGUCACAAGAGGCCCUGAGCUCUGUGGGCCCCAGGUGCCCCGGGAAAACUUGGGGGAGAAUGGGCAUCCCACCCCAGCACUUUCUAGGAAGAAGGGCAGCAUUUUGAAGGGCUGGAAGUAGAGGAAGGAGGUUGCGGGUAGAAGACUCCAUACUUUCUGUGACGCCUAUUCCUUAGUCAGAGGCAUGGCUUGCCUGGGCCUCUGGGUGCAGCUGCACAGAUUCAAGCAGCCUGAAGGAAAGGUGACUGACAGCUAAUGAUCUGAAAAGAACUUGUCUCAACUCAACGUCAUUCCUGGCAUUAUCGAACAAAGCAAUAAACCUCACAGAAUGGAAGCUACAGUGUCCAGGGCCAGCUCUGCUAAGGUAACCAAAGACAGAGAAGGAGGCAAAAGUGACAGAAGAAACUCAUGGGAAACCAACAGAAAUAUAAUGGCUUUGGCAGAAAUGCAAUUAUCAAUUGGGAGCUUGUGAUGAAUGUUUUCUCAGUAUCCUAUGCUGAAAACAGGUAGAUACUAAUAUCGAUCUUCAAGGGAGGGCUGUUGAGUAUUGAAUAAGACAAAAACAUGGAAGCAAUCAGCACCAUGCUGAACAACAGAAGUUUCAACAUUCUGCCAACAGAGUAACUCCUGGAAGAUUGGCACAGAAGAAGGCACAAGGAGAGCCUUUAUAUAACCAAAGAUAUUUUUGGACCAUGAAUUCAGAAAUUCUCGGAGCCACCCAUCAGUGCCUGAGCUUCAGUGAGUCCAUAUCCCAUGUCACCCACGGCAAAGGAGACUCUAAGACUUCUGAAGAGUUUCUUGCUUCUUUCCUGUGGGGCAGUGACUCCACUUCCCAGCAGUAAUGGAAUAUCCUGAAUUAGCUACAUUAAUGUUAGAACCAUUUGGACCUCACCCAGGACUUCAACUACAUUAUGCUAAAGUUACAGAACCCAAAUUUGGCAACUGUCUGCAUCUGAACAACAGAAGUUUCAACAUUCUGCCAACAGAGUAACUCCUGGACGAUUGGCACAGAAGAAGGCACAAGGCAAAUACCCAUCUCUGUACACCCUGUGCUACUGUGUCAUGUGCUGCUCCAGGCAACUCCAAUGGAUUGGCCACCCUGGCCAAUGUGCCCUCCAAACACCAGCACUGAGUAGAAAGAGGCUCUGAUUCAUGAAAUGUGAAUUUAUGACAGUUGCCACUCUUAAAAAAAAAAACAAACAGACAGAACUUGAGCAAUACAUGACUGAUGCAUUCUCAGCCUGCUUCCUGUGUUCCAUCUGUCUUUCUGCCAGUGCAUUCACCCUCCAGUGAAACUUUCUACAUUCCACAUUUUCUAUCAAGAAAAGAAAGAGGUUGUAUUGUGAGGUAAGAGGCACACACACGGACUUCCUUCAGUAGCUGCAAUCCUUGCUAUAGGUCAGGCAUCAAGACAAUUCCACUUUACAGGCCUGGAUUUUGGAGAAAGAAAGGUUCUAGUAUGUUACGUUUAUGUUCCCCUGCUUUCUACAAUCCUGUUCAAAGAGUUGCUGACUUAACCACAGAGAGGAUUCCAGAACCUGAGACACAGAAUAAACUUGAGCAAUCAUAGUCCAUCCACUUCAUUGUCUCAUCAAAAACCAAAGGUCCAGUGAAGCUCUGGAACUCAACGCUGUAAAGGAGCGAAGGAGCUUCUAUACAGAGCCUGGAUGCCUGUCUCCUUAUCCUACUUCAGUGGACUUGACUGCAAUCCGGAUUAUGCUGUUUUCUAAGCAUUUAAAAUAAAAUAAAAAGUAUAAUAGUGUGAUAAGUUCUUUCACAAAGCAAGCAAUCACAUUUAUGUUUCUACUUACAUUUGGGUUUUCCAAAUAUGUGUGUGUGUGUGUGUGUGUGUGUGUGUGUGUGUAUGUAGACUUUAAACAUGGUGCAUCCAUCAUGUUGCACUAAAUCAAAACCACCAAAUAAUGAUGUAGAACUAAUAAAUCAAAACCAUCAAAUAAUGACAUAGAAAUCCAAUUCUCCCACCUUACACCCAUUAAGAUGGCUACU